Molecule: ribosomal RNA, 116 nt
Filed under: Lepisosteus oculatus (spotted gar)
Lineage: Eukaryota; Metazoa; Chordata; Actinopteri; Semionotiformes; Lepisosteidae
Source: RNAcentral
UCAUCAUUACAUAUCACCCUUCAGCUCUCUACUGACUACCCAUUGAAGCUCAGCAGGGUUGAGCCUGGUCAGUACCUGGAUGGGAGACCUCCUGGGAACCUAUGGUUGCUGCUGGA